CGCGGUAAUACCAGCUGUCCAAGUGAGAGCCACUUUUAUUGGGUCUAAAACAUCCGUAGCUUGUUAUGUAAGUCUCUUGUGAAAUCUGGCAUCUUAAGUGUCAGGCGUACAAGAGAUACUGCUUAACUAGGGACCGGGAGACGUGAGGAGUACGGAUAGGGUAGCGGUAAAAUGUGUUGAUCCUAUUUGGACUAACGAUAGCGAAGGCACCUCACGAGAACGGAUCCGACAGUGAGGGAUGAAGGCUAGGGUCGCAAAACGGAUUAGAUACCCGUGUAGUCCUAGCAGUAAACCCUGCACACUAAACAUCGGUACCUCCUCGAGAGGUAUCGGUGCUGUAGGGAAGCCGUAGAGUGUGCUACCUGGGAAGUAUAGUCGCAAGACCGAAACUUAAAGGAAUAGGCGGCGGGAUACUACAACCGGUGACGCGUGCGGUUCAAUUAGAUUCUACACCGUGAACCUCACCAGGAUCGAUAGCAGAAUGAAGGUCUGUCUGAAGGGCAUACCUGACACGCUAAGAGGAGAUGCAUGGCCGACGUCAGCCUGUGUCGUGAGAUGAUCUGUUAAAUCAGGUAACAGGCGAGACCCGUGUGCAUAUUUGCUUUGAACAAUAUGCAGACUGCCUUCGUAAGAAGGAGGAA
Molecule: ribosomal RNA, 641 nt
Filed under: uncultured euryarchaeote
Lineage: Archaea; Methanobacteriati; Methanobacteriota
Description: bacterial SSU rRNA
Rfam family: Archaeal small subunit ribosomal RNA
Source: RNAcentral